AACCCAGUGUGACUCGUCACACUAUCAUUAACUGAAUCCAUAGGUUAAUGAGGCGAACCGGGGGAACUGAAACAUCUAAGUACCCCGAGGAAAAGAAAUCAACCGAGAUUCCCCCAGUAGCGGCGAGCGAACGGGGAGGAGCCCAGAGCCUGAAUCAGCAUGUGUGUUAGUGGAAGCGUCUGGAAAGGCGCGCGAUACAGGGUGACAGCCCCGUACACAAAAGCGCAUGUGCUGUGAGCUCGAUGAGUAGGGCGGGACACGUGGUAUCCUGUCUGAAUAUGGGGGGACCAUCCUCCAAGGCUAAAUACUCCUGACUGACCGAUAGUGAACCAGUACCGUGAGGGAAAGGCGAAAAGAACCCCGGCGAGGGGAGUGAAACAGAACCUGAAACCGUG
This 395-nucleotide ribosomal RNA is filed under the name Salmonella enterica. Its description in RNAcentral is "partial 23S ribosomal RNA". It matches the Rfam family "Bacterial large subunit ribosomal RNA", at positions 125 to 560 of the family's 2925-position model. The record is from RNAcentral. RNAcentral also lists the same sequence under 1 other name. Lineage: Bacteria; Pseudomonadati; Pseudomonadota; Gammaproteobacteria; Enterobacterales; Enterobacteriaceae.